Molecule: ribosomal RNA, 2850 nt
Filed under: Succinimonas amylolytica DSM 2873
Lineage: Bacteria; Pseudomonadati; Pseudomonadota; Gammaproteobacteria; Aeromonadales; Succinivibrionaceae
Description: bacterial LSU rRNA
Rfam family: Bacterial large subunit ribosomal RNA
Source: RNAcentral
UUAAGUGAAGAAGCGUGCAUGGUGGAUGCCUUGGCAAUAAGAGGCGAUGAAGGACGUACUAACCUGCGAAAAGCCGCGGUAAGCUGGUAAGAAGCGUAAAAGCCGCGGAUGUCCGAAUGGGGCAACCCGACACAGAAGUGUCAUUCCGAAAGGAAAGCGAACCGGGAGAAGUGAAACAUCUCAGUACCCCGAGGAAAAGAAAUCAACCGAGAUUCUCCAAGUAGUGGCGAACGAACGGGGAAGAGCCCAAAAUCUCUGCAUGUGCAAGCCGAAAUGUCUGGGAAGGCAUACGAAAGAGGGUGACAGUCCCGUAGGCGGAAGCGGGUGCAGGGUGAAAAACGAGUAUGGCGGGACACGUGGUAUCCUGUCAGAAGAUGGGGGGACCAUCCUCCAAGGCUAAAUACUACUUAUUGACCGAUAGUGAACAAGUACCGUGAGGGAAAGGCGAAAAGAACCCCUGUGAGGGGAGUGAAAAGAAUCUGAAACCGUGCACGUACAAGCAGUGGGAGCCCGAAAGGGUGACUGCGUACCUUUUGUAUAAUGGGUCAGCGAGUUGCUUUCAGUGGCGAGGUUAACCGAAUAGGGGAGCCGAAGGGAAACCGAGUAUUAACUGUGCGCUGAGUCGCUGGGAGCAGACCCGAAACCUGAUGAUCUAACCGUGGGCAGGAUGAAGGUAAGGUAACACUUACUGGAGGUCCCGACCCACUAGUGUUGCAAAACUAGGGGAUGACCUGCGGUUAGGGGUGAAAGGCCAAUCAAAUCAGGUGAUAUCUGGUUCUCCCCGAAAGCUAUUUAGGUAGCGCCUCAAUGGAUAAUUGCCGGGGGUAGAGCACUGUUUCAGAAAGGGGCCCAGCCAAUGGGUUUCCGAUUUGAUGCAAACUCCGAAUACCGGCAAGGAAGAAAUUGGGAGACAGACGGCGGGUGCUAACGUUCGUCGUCGAGAGGAAAACAAUCCAGACCGCCAGCUAAGGUCCCGAAGUCAAUGUUAAGUGGGAAACGAAGUGGGAAGGCAUAGACAGCUAGGAUGUUGGCUUAGAAGCAGCCAUCAUUAAAAGAAAGCGUAAUAGCUCACUAGUCGAGUCGGCCCGCGCGGAAGAUGUAACGGGGCUAAACAUUGCACCGAAGCUGCGGAAUCGCAGAAAUGCGGAUUGGUAGGGGAGCGUUCUGUAAGGUGAAGAAGGCAUACCGGAAGGAGUGCUGGAGCUAUCAGAAGUGCGAAUGCUGACGUGAGUAACGAUAAUGCGGGUGAAAAACCCGCACGCCGGGAGACCAAGGGUUCCUGUCCAACGUUAAUCGGGGCAGGGUGAGUCGGUACCUAAUGAUAAGCUGAAAAGCGAGGCAGAUGGAAAAUCGGUUAAUAUUCCGAUACUGGCAUUAGCUGCGAAGGAGGGACGGAGAAGGCUAGGUGCGCCUGCUGUUGGAUGCAGGUGAAAGGAUGUAGUUCCGGCGCGUACGAAAAAAGGCGAGCUGAAGGAUGAGAUCUGAGAGGAUUGCACUACGGUGCGAGAAGGCAUUGAUGCCAGGCUUCCAGGAAAAGCUUCUAAGCUACAGGCUAAUGCGAGCCGUACCCGAAACCGACACAGGUGGUCGAGUAGAGAAUACCAAGGCGCUUGAGAGAACUCGGGUGAAGGAACUAGGCAAAAUAGUACCGUAACUUAGGGAGAAGGUAUGCUGACGAAAGUGAAGGACUGCGCGUCCGGAGCAAGAGUCAGUCGCAGCGAAGAGGUGGCUGGGACUGUUUAACAAAAACACAGCACACUGCGAACACGGAAGUGGAAGUAUAGUGUGUGACACCUGCCCGGUGCUGGAAGGUUAAAUGAUGAUGUCAUCGCAAGAGAAGCAUCUGAUUGAAGCCCCAGUAAACGGCGGCCGUAACUAUAACGGUCCUAAGGUAGCGAAAUUCCUUGUCGGGCAAGUUCCGACCUGCACGAAUGGUGUAACCAUGGCCACGCUGUCUCCACCCGAGACUCAGUGAAAUCGAAAUUGCUGUGAAGAUGCAGUGUACCCGCGGCUAGACGGAAAGACCCCGUGAACCUUUACUAUAGCUUGACACUGAACAUUGAGUACAUUUGUGUAGGAUAGAUGGGAGACAGAGAAACCUGUACGCCAGUAUGGGCGGAGUCGACGUUGAAAUACCAUUCUGAUGUGCUUGGUGUUCUAACUUCGGAAGGAGGACAGUGUCUGGUGGGUAGUUUGACUGGGGCGGUCUCCUCCCAAAGGGUAACGGAGGAGCACGAAGGUUGGCUAAUCACGGUCGGACAUCGUGAGGAUAGUGCAAUGGCAGAAGCCAGCUUAACUGCGAGACAGACGAGUCGAGCAGAUGCGAAAGCAGGUCAUAGUGAUCCGGUGGUUCUGAAUGGAAGGGCCAUCGCUCAACGGAUAAAAGGUACUCUGGGGAUAACAGGCUGAUACCGCCCAAGAGUUCAUAUCGACGGCGGUGUUUGGCACCUCGAUGUCGGCUCAUCACAUCCUGGGGCUGCAGCAGGUCCCAAGGGUAUGGCUGUUCGCCAUUUAAAGUGGUACGCGAGCUGGGUUCAAAACGUCGUGAGACAGUUUGGUCCCUAUCUGCCGUGGGCGCAGGAAGAUUGAAGGGGAUUGCUCCUAGUACGAGAGGACCGGAGUGAACGAACCGCUGGUGAGAGGAUUGUAAUGCCAAUUGCAUAGUCCGGUAGCUAAGUUCGGGAUCGAUAACCGCUGAAAGCAUCUAAGCGGGAAGCGAGCCCUGAGAUGAGUCUUCCCAGACCUUGAGUCUGUAAGGACCGUCAGAGACGAUGACGUUGAUAGGUGAGGAGUGGAAGCGUUGCGAGGCGUGGAGCGGACUCAUACUAAUGAUCCGAGAGGCUUAACCAU